CCACCGGGACACCUGGCGGUCGUUUCUAGGGACAAAGAGAGAAAGAGAUGCGGAGGAUCACUUCCCUGUACGGACGAAUUAGUCUUCUUAAGAGACCAACGAAGCAAUCUCACACAUUCAUCGCCUCUCUAUCCUUCUCCACGGUCGGUGGCUACAAGCGCGUACAUCGUGACCGAGCGGCGUUGCUGUCUCGCAAUAAAAACGACACCUUUGUCGACGCUGUUGCAGAGGACCGCUUAGAGGGUACAUUCUGAUCUUUGCUUUUGCUAUUUUUAUAAGGACUGUAAGAAGAGUUUCCCCUCUGCAUUGUGUUUGGGAGGAUCUCUUGGUGCCGUUCAGCGUUUACUACGUGGUGGUCGUGGUUAGUUAUUGCUUUCAGGUUAGGGACGCAGGGAAUCUAUUGACCAGGACGGGUUUUAGUCUUCCCGGUGUUGACGUUGACGACUAUGUGGUUAAAUACAAGAGUGCGCUGGAUCUUAUAGACCAUCUUCGUGCCAUGGGUGAAACCAACGCUCUUCUCCACAGAACAAG
Molecule: long non-coding RNA, 531 nt
Organism: Brassica oleracea var. oleracea
Lineage: Eukaryota; Viridiplantae; Streptophyta; Magnoliopsida; Brassicales; Brassicaceae
Exons: 3
Source: RefSeq, a predicted model, not a curated record